CCCCACCCCCCAAGGCUAUAGCCCACCCGUUUUUGUGGCCUUUUUCCGCUGGACGAACUUGGCCUCCCGGCCUUCGGGCGGUUAUUUUUGGGUGCGGCUUUGCCUGUGGGCUACUUUUGGCACACGGAGGCCCCUCACAAAGUGUCGCGGCAUUCUGAGUCCGGCGGACGAAGUUGGCCAGCCCCACCCCCCAAGGCUAUAGCCCACCCGUUUUUGUGGCCUUUUUCCGCUGGACGAACUUGGCGUCCCGGCCUUCGGGCGGUUAUUUUUGGGUGCGGCUUUGCCCGCGGCCUACUUUUGGCACACGGAGGCCCCUCGCAAGGUCUCGCGGCAUUCCGAGUCCGGCGGACGAAGUGGGCCGGCCCCACCCCCCAAGGCUAUAGCCCACCCGUUUUUGUGGCCUUUUUCCGCUGGACGAACUUGGCGCCCCGGCCUUCGGGCGGUUAUUUUUGGGCGCGGCUUUGCCCGCGGCCUAUUUUUGGCACACGGAGGCCCCUCGCAAAGUGUCGCGGCAUUCCGAGUCCGGCGGACAAAGUUGGCCAGCCCCACCCCCCAAGGCUAUAGCCCACCCGUUUUUGUGGCCUUUUUCCGCCCGGCCUUCGGGUGGUUAUUUUUGGGUGCGGCUUUACCCGCGGCCUACUUUUGGCACACGGAGGCCCCUCGCAAGGUCUCGCGGCAUUCCGAGUCCGGCGGACGAAGUUGGCCGGCCCCACCCCCCAAGGCUAUAGCCCACCCGUUUUUGUGGCCUUUUUCCGCUGGACGAACUUGGCCUCCCGGCCUUC
RNAcentral lists this long non-coding RNA (782 nucleotides) under Citrus x clementina. RNAcentral describes it as "Citrus clementina (C. clementina) long non-coding RNA (CCLE_LNC003745)". Lineage: Eukaryota; Viridiplantae; Streptophyta; Magnoliopsida; Sapindales; Rutaceae. The record is from RNAcentral.